RNAcentral lists this ribosomal RNA (253 nucleotides) under uncultured bacterium. RNAcentral describes it as "partial 16S ribosomal RNA". It matches the Rfam family "Bacterial small subunit ribosomal RNA", at positions 524 to 776 of the family's 1533-position model. The record is from RNAcentral.
UACAGAGGGUGCGAGCGUUAAUCGGAAUUACUGGGCGUAAAGCGUGCGUAGACGGCUAUCUAAGUCGGGUGUGAAAGCCCCGGGCUUAACCUGGGAAUGGCAUUUGGGACUGCAAGGCUUGAGUGCGGCAGAGGAGACUGGAAUUCCUGGUGUAGCAGUGAAAUGCGUAGAUAUCAGGAGGAAUACCGAUGGCGAAGGCAGGUCUCUGGGCUGACACUGACGCUCAUGCACGAAAGCGUGGGGAGCAAACAGG